GAUGCGUGCAGCUUUCUUGCUGACGCAGCGGCGGACGGGUGAGUAAUGUAUGGGGAUCUGCCCGAUAGAGGGGGAUACCUACUGGAAACGGUGGCUAAUACCGCAUAAUGUCUACGGACCAAAGCAGGGGCUCUUCGGACCUUGCACUAUCGGAUGAACCCAUAUGGGAUUAGCUAGUAGGUGGGGUAAAGGCUCACCUAGGUCGACGAUCUCUAGCUGGUCUGAGAGGAUGAUCAACCACACUGGGACUGAGACACGGCCCAGACUCCUACGGGAGGCAGCAGUGGGGAAUAUUGCACAAUGGGCGCAAGCCUGAUGCAGCCAUGCCGCGUGUAUGAAGAAGGCCUUAGGGUUGUAAAGUACUUUCAGCGGGGAGGAAGGUGAUAAGGUUAAUACCCUUAUCAAUUGACGUUACCCGCAGAAGAAGCACCGGCUAACUCCGUGCCAGCAGCCGCGGUAAUACGGAGGGUGCAGCGUUAAUCGGAAUUACUGGGCGUAAAGCGCACGCAGGCGGUCAAUUAAGUCAGAUGUGAAAGCCCCGAGCUUAACUUGGGAAUUGCAUCUGAAACUGGUUGGCUAGAGUCUUGUAGAGGGGGGUAGAAUUCCAUGUGUAGCGGUGAAAUGCGUAGAGAUGUGGAGGAAUACCGGUGGCGAAGGCGGCCCCCUGGACAAAGACUGACGCUCAGUGCGAAAGCGUGGGGAGCAACAGGAUUAGAUACCCUGGUAGUCCACGCUGUAACGAUGUCGAUUUAGAGGUUGUGGUCUUGAACCGUGGCUUCUGGA
This 783-nucleotide ribosomal RNA is filed under the name Proteus mirabilis. RNAcentral describes it as "bacterial SSU rRNA". It matches the Rfam family "Bacterial small subunit ribosomal RNA", at positions 66 to 850 of the family's 1533-position model. The record is from RNAcentral. Lineage: Bacteria; Pseudomonadati; Pseudomonadota; Gammaproteobacteria; Enterobacterales; Morganellaceae.